GCCGGGCAGCCGGGGGGAAUCCGCCGGCAUCGCCGCCCUUGCCGGCCGGGCUGCUACGGGGCCCAGAGCGCCGGAAGCUGGGGCUGGGGCGGCACCGCGCGGCGGCCUCGGGCUCCCGUUAGAGCAGCCCGGGCGGCUAUGCCGAGGGCCCGGAGCGGCCGGCGGAGCAGGGAGGCCGGCGGGAGGGAGGAAACCUUCUUGCGAGUGCGAGCCAACCGGCAAACCCGACUGAAUGGUGAGUCCGGUCCGGCCCCUCCCUCCGCCCCACCCCCGGCCUCCUCCCUCCUCCACUGCCCGCAGCUCCUGGCUUGCCUGGGUCUCUUCAUCAUCGGGCCAACUGACUUCUUGCAGUCACCACGUCUGAGAGUGCAAACCAAGGCUGCCGCCCUCAGUUUCCCCGUCUGUCUAAUGGAGGGUUACGGUACUCAGCUCGUGCCCAAGUCUUUCUAAAGGUCCGAAAGAACCCUGGGGGACAAUAAGUGUCGGAGAAUGAGGAACAAGCUACACAAUUCCACUCGGGAGCUCAGCUUUGAAUUUGCAGACUGCUGGGACCUCACUAUACAAGUCGGCAGGGCGCUGAGAAUGUUUUUCUUCUAGUUUUUAAUCAGUGCCCAGUAGUGUGAAUGCAGCCUCUCUGCUGAGACUUGACAAUGCAAUGAGAUCUGGAGUUCCCACGGCAACAGAACUAACUCGUCCCAGAGCUCUUUGAGUUAUCAGUCGGCCCACAUUUCACAAAGGUGAUCAGCGUGGGCUCGACAGCUCUUAGAGGCCUUUUCUGAAAGCAGACCGCGUAUGCACUACCUGCUGGUAGCUGGUCAUCAUUCCCACCACGUGGGAGCCAUUGCUCGUGGGACUCCUUUGUGACCGUGCUGCUGCCUGUGAUGCGCAUAUUAAAGUGGAUGUAUUUGGGUGGGAAAUGGAAUUGUGAGGCUGCAAGCUAGCAAUGACGAGGGGGGCGCCCGGCCUCGGGUGAUGCAUUGAAGGUGACAGCCAAGCCGCGUUAGCACCUGCAUAAAAUAUUAAAGGGACGGUUAUGCAUUUAUC
Molecule: long non-coding RNA, 1044 nt
Filed under: Rattus norvegicus (Norway rat)
Lineage: Eukaryota; Metazoa; Chordata; Mammalia; Rodentia; Muridae
Description: long non-coding RNA NONRATT023512
Source: RNAcentral